UACGUAGGGCGCAAGCGUUAUCCGGAAUUAUUGGGCGUAAAGAGCUCGUAGGCGGUUUGUCGCGUCUGCCGUGAAAGUCCGGGGCUCAACUCCGGAUUUGCGGUGGGUACGGGCAGACUAGAGUGAUGUAGGGGAGACUGGAAUUCCUGGUGUAGCGGUGAAAUGCGCAGAUAUCAGGAGGAACACCGAUGGCGAAGGCAGGUCUCUGGGCAUUAACUGACGCUGAGGAGCGAAAGCAUGGGGAGCGAACAGG
This 253-nucleotide ribosomal RNA is filed under the name uncultured bacterium. Its description in RNAcentral is "partial 16S ribosomal RNA". It matches the Rfam family "Bacterial small subunit ribosomal RNA", at positions 524 to 776 of the family's 1533-position model. The record is from RNAcentral.